UUUUGGACAAUGGGGGCAACCCUGAUCCAGCCAUGCCGCGUGAGUGAAGAAGGCCUUCGGGUUGUAAAGCUCUUUCGGACGGAACGAAAUGGGCGGGACUAAUACUCCUGUCUGAUGACGGUACCGUAAGAAGAAGCACCGGCUAACUACGUGCCAGCAGCCGCGGUAAUACGUAGGGUGCGAGCGUUAAUCGGAAUUACUGGGCGUAAAGCGUGCGCAGGCGGUUUCGUAAGCUGGAGGUGAAAUCCCCGGGCUUAACCUGGGAAUGGCCUUCAGGACUGCGAGGCUAGAGUGCGGCAGAGGGAGGUGGAAUUCCACGUGUAGCAGUGAAAUGCGUAGAGAUGUGGAGGAACACCGAUGGCGAAGGCAGCCUCCUGGGCCAGCACUGACGCUCAUGCAGAAA
This 403-nucleotide ribosomal RNA is filed under the name uncultured bacterium. RNAcentral's name for it is "bacterial SSU rRNA". It matches the Rfam family "Bacterial small subunit ribosomal RNA", at positions 362 to 758 of the family's 1533-position model. The record is from RNAcentral.